RNAcentral lists this ribosomal RNA (497 nucleotides) under uncultured bacterium. RNAcentral's name for it is "partial 16S ribosomal RNA". It matches the Rfam family "Bacterial small subunit ribosomal RNA", at positions 28 to 507 of the family's 1533-position model. The record is from RNAcentral.
GAUGAACGCUGGCGGCGUGCCUAAUACAUGCAAGUCGAGCGAACAGACGAGGAGCUUGCUCCUCUGACGUUAGCGGCGGACGGGUGAGUAACACGUGGAUAACCUACCUAUAAGACUGGGAUAACUUCGGGAAACCGGAGCUAAUACCGGAUAAUAUAUUGAACCGCAUGGUUCAAUAGUGAAAGACGGUUUUGCUGUCACUUAUAGAUGGAUCCGCGCCGCAUUAGCUAGUUGGUAAGGUAACGGCUUACCAAGGCAACGAUGCGUAGCCGACCUGAGAGGGUGAUCGGCCCCACUGGAACUGAGACAAGGUCCAGACUCCUAAGGGAGGCAGCAGUAGGGAAUCUUCCGCAAUGGGCGAAAGCCUGACGGAGCAACGCCGCGUGAGUGAUGAAGGUCUUCGGAUCGUAAAACUCUGUUAUUAGGGAAGAACAAAUGUGUAAGUAACUAUGCACGUCUUGACGGUACCUAAUCAGAAAGCCACGGCUAACUACGUG